CAACGUGGGCAACCUGCCUCAUAGAGGGGAAUAGCCUUCCGAAAGGGAGAUUAAUACCGCAUAAGAUUGUAGUACCGCAUGGUACAGCAAUUAAAGGAGCAAUCCGCUAUGAGAUGGGCCCGCGGCGCAUUAGCUAGUUGGUGAGGUAACGGCUCACCAAGGCGACGAUGCGUAGCCGACCUGAGAGGGUGAUCGGCCACAUUGGGACUGAGACACGGCCCAGACUCCUACGGGAGGCAGCAUG
RNAcentral lists this ribosomal RNA (244 nucleotides) under uncultured bacterium. Its description in RNAcentral is "partial 16S ribosomal RNA". It matches the Rfam family "Bacterial small subunit ribosomal RNA", at positions 113 to 353 of the family's 1533-position model. The record is from RNAcentral.